UGUACUUAUGUAUGUUUUUGUUUAACUUAUGGACAAAGACUUAUAGAUAAGUACAAAAAAUAAAUCCUCUUUUGCAACCCAGAACUCAUUGUUCAAUAUGAGUUUUGAUACAUGUAAGAAGGGAUAUU
Molecule: small nucleolar RNA, 128 nt
Filed under: Piliocolobus tephrosceles (Ugandan red Colobus)
Lineage: Eukaryota; Metazoa; Chordata; Mammalia; Primates; Cercopithecidae
Description: Small nucleolar RNA SNORA40 (ENSPTEG00000031511.1)
Rfam family: Small nucleolar RNA SNORA40
About the family: The snoRNA ACA 40 belongs to the H/ACA family of snoRNAs and guides the pseudouridylation of 28S rRNA subunit at position U4565. NB This family has a high threshold value to exclude a large number of closely related sequences that do not appear to have conserved H and ACA boxes, and may be pseudogenes.
Source: Rfam by way of RNAcentral